Molecule: long non-coding RNA, 1599 nt
Filed under: Chrysemys picta bellii (western painted turtle)
Lineage: Eukaryota; Metazoa; Chordata; Testudines; Emydidae
Description: lncRNA (ENSCPBG00000018804.1)
Source: RNAcentral
CCAGGUGUUUAAGGUGUUAGUUUUGACCUAUGUUAUAAAGCCUAAAUGGUUACCUGUGUGUCUUUGCAGGUGCCAUUCUGCUGCAGGUGCUUUCAGCAUAAGUAUUCACCAGAUGUCCUAAUAUUUUUACUUUCUCCUCAUGUGGAAGUCCUGAAGUCUUUCUAUGCCUCCAAUUCUUGCCUUUGUCUGGAUCCUUUCAGUUUCUGUGUGAUUUUUGAGUUGGAGAAUGAGGACCGCACUCAAGGACAGGAGCAUAACUGGAUCACAGGAACACUCGAACUCAGGAACCCUCAGGAAUGAUGCAGGACCCAGGAGCAAUAACACUAAGGAUCAGGAACCAAAGGUAAUUCAUUAGACCACUUGCAUCAGGAAGGACUGCCCAUAUGAUGAAGGGGGUGCAGAAUUGGGACCUAAACAAGCAACAUUCUUAACUGAAUUAAAACAAAUCUGGGGUCUGGCUGGUGCUGUGGAUUUGUAAUGGUGCAAGGAGUCUCACCAGGUUGAAUUCAGCUAAAGCUGGUAACUAUCAAAGGCUAUAUAAAAUAUACAAAUUGCAUCAGAAUAUACAAAUUGUCCCUUUUGUGUAAUACCCUAUCUCAGAUAGUGGCCAGUGCUGGAUACCUCAGGAAAAGGCAUAACCUCCAUAAGUAACAUAACUGUAUAUCGUAGAGGGUGACUUCACUUUAGUUUUAGUCAGUUUUAUACUUGUAAAGUUUCAGCCUUGAAUAUUUGAGAACUAUUUGUAUACUAGCUAACAAAAGAUAUUUUGUCACUGUGUAUCAUAUAUGUAUUCAUAUUUAUAUUGUGAUACUGCAGUAUAGAAAGAUAUCAGCCGAUCAGCAUGUAGGAAUGAUGUACAACUAUUGACACAUAACUGUACAGGUUUUUUUCCCAUGGGUGAAGUUCCCUGCACUCUAGUUGCAGGUAUGAGAAUCGCUGUACUUUGAUUGGCUGACAGCCAUUAUUAGCCAAAAUGGAGAGCUUGCAUAAUUACUAAACAGUUAUUUCUCCUUUUUUCCAUAAUUCUUCUGUUGUGACGGGCUUUUGUAUUCACAAUUUUAAAGCUGUGUGCCAGUCAUCUCAGCUUGUCACUCCUUUCAGCUAAAGCAGAAAAACUCAAAAGUAUACAUGAAAGCAAACAAAAAGGGGGUUGAGAAUCUGCUGAAAGAGCAGUUUCAAAACUCACUUCUUCCCAUCAUAGAAUCAUAGAAGAUUAGUGUUGGAAGGGACCUCAGGAGGUUAUCUAGUCCAACCCCCUGCCCAAAGCAGGACCAACCCCAACUAAAUUACCCAGCCAGGGCUUUGUCAAGCUGGGCCUUAAAAAGCUCUAAGGAUGGAGAUUCCACCACUUCCCUAAGUAACCCAUUCCAGUGUGUCACCACCCUGCUAGUGAAAUAGUUUUUCCUAAUAUCCAACCUAGACCUCCCCCACUGCAAUUUGAGACCAUUGCUCCUUGUUCCGUCAUCUGCCACCACUGAAAACAGCCUAGCUCCAUUCUCUUUGGAACCCCCCUUCAGGUAGUUGAAGGCUGCUGUCAAAUCCCCCCUCACUCUUCUCUUCUGCAGACUAAAUAAAACCAGAGCCCUCAGCCUCUUCUCA